AACGAAAGAAUUUUUUAUGUAUGUAAACAUACAUUUGUAAGUGAUCAACUUUUUUUGUACAAUAGGCUAAUACGUUACUCCGACCUGCUAUGAUCUUUCUUCAGUUCCCCGCUGCUGCUUGAUUCUUAUUUCUUAUUUGCAAAUGCAGCCACCGAUCUUCUAUUGAUUCUUCUAGCCUCAUCCUCCUUUUGUUAUGACUCAAAUCUAAUUUGUAAAUGCAGCCACCGAUCUUCUAGCCUCAACCUUGUUGAUUCUCUGGACAACUUGCAGCAUAUAUCUACCGAUGUGGCUUGCUAUAGUGAAGCGGGGCGAGCUCCACGGCACCGGCCACGGCCUGCCUCCCGGAACCAGCCGCCAUCGUAGUUUCUGUUCAUGCAUAGUCACAGAUCAGAGUUCAAAGAUGUCUUGAAACAAACAGAAGGGCCUGACUGUUAGUCUUAAAUUCUAUCAGUAGUUCACAUUACAUAGAUAGUACAGAUUUGGAUGUUCAGUCAGAUAUGAAUCAUUCAUUAUUCUUUGCUUAAGAGAGAGAAAAAAGCAAAUGAAAAUGAAAAGGGGACAGAACGCUUUGAUUGCUCAAACCAUAAUCACCAUCAAUCAAAUGUGUCCCUACUUGCACAGAAAAUUCAAAUAUAAGCAUGAUCAGGGUUGAGAACACAUUGCUACCAUUAGAACAAAGGGUGGAUUACUGGAUUGCUCAUAAUCUGGGCCUUGUUCCUCACCUUCAGUAUGAAGAAUUAUUCUACAGAAUUAUAAAAUAUGUAUUGAUCUGAGAGGCUCUGUGACAGAUAUUCCGGUGAAAUCUUGAUCAUUGCCACGACAAGGUGAAGAUAAUUCUUGCUCACAGAUACAAACGGAUCUCGAUGUCUAUUAAAUUUACAAUCUCGUAACAAAACAUUACAUGCAAUAAAUAGACAUAAGACAAAAAUUAUGUUAUAUACCAACACCAAAGAGAUAAAACAAUUUGUUACUCUCCAUGUUGAGAAAUAUACACUCUAUGUAUGCACAAGAGAUUAGCCAACUCUCCUAAUCUUAACUUAAACGGAGAUAACUGCAAGUCUUGUGGGUAGAAUGCUAAAUUUGCAAAUUACAAGAAAAAUGAGGCAUUAUAGUGAGCAUGCAUCUAAUUAGAGAUUAUCAGAUGUAAUUUAAUACUGGAGGGGGCACAUUCCCCUCACCUUGACCAACCUGAUUAUUUUCUUUAUUGGUAGAAUCGCAAUAAUGGAGCGUUACAACACCCAUGAUGAAUUCCCAACAUUUCCUGAAAAAAGACAGGUGAAACUAUCCGGUCCGGGCACCUUUUCACGAUGCAUAUCAAAUACGGCCUUUUUUAUUUCCUCUAAAAUUUGAGUGCUUCUAGUUCCAGCAGCUCACAAGGUUAAAAACCAAGAACAUCAAAAUUCAGUGUGGCGGUCCUUGGCAAAUAAACUCCAAGAAGUUGAUCUAACAGAACUUUAGAUGUUCUACAGGUCAUGUACGACUCCCAUGUUGUAAUAAAAAAAUUAUGAUCAAUUUACGGUGCCUUACUACUGUACUCCUCAUCAAUUUAUAGUCCCAAUGGAGUAAAUAAAAAUGUCAGCUACUGUAAUCCAUCAGCUACUACAUGAAGAAAAAGAAGCUAAAAAUUCAGUUAUGUAGAUGAAUUCAAUUAAACUUCAAUUAUAGUUUGACAGGCUCCAAUUUUGAAGACUUUAGUGAUAAUCUUCAGUUUUCUGUCAUGAUUCCAAUCUUACAAUGUUGCUAUUGAUUUUUGACCGAAUACUGGUCCAGAAUUCAGCAUUCGACAACAACCAGAAAAGAGGAUGAUAAUUCAGAAUUCACCAGCAACAAAUGCCCAACCUUUGACAUUGGGACAUACAGCAACCACCGUGACUUUUGUAAUUCAGCAGCAACCGCUGACGGGGCCGGACUCGUUGUCCUGCUCGUCCAUGGGGAGAAGGCCCGUCAACGAGCCGUUGGUGCUCGUCAAAGGCACAGACAUGGUCUGGCGAUGGUUCACGGCCGGCGAACGACGGUGGCGGCACACGCGCGAGCCCCAGCCAGCCGCGCCUGCCUCCAGACAGUGGCGUGUGGUGCGCGCUAGACUUUGCCGUUCUGGCCGCCCGAGCGCCACUCCGCCCCACGCGGUCCCG
RNAcentral lists this long non-coding RNA (2132 nucleotides) under Hordeum vulgare. RNAcentral describes it as "long non-coding RNA (HVUL_LNC013215)". The record is from RNAcentral. Lineage: Eukaryota; Viridiplantae; Streptophyta; Magnoliopsida; Poales; Poaceae.